Molecule: transfer RNA, 82 nt
Filed under: Ulnaria ulna
Lineage: Eukaryota; Bacillariophyta; Fragilariophyceae; Fragilariales; Fragilariaceae
Also listed under: 1 other name
Description: tRNA-Tyr
Rfam family: tRNA
About the family: Transfer RNA (tRNA) molecules are approximately 80 nucleotides in length. Their secondary structure includes four short double-helical elements and three loops (D, anti-codon, and T loops). Further hydrogen bonds mediate the characteristic L-shaped molecular structure. tRNAs have two regions of fundamental functional importance: the anti-codon, which is responsible for specific mRNA codon recognition, and the 3' end, to which the tRNAs corresponding amino acid is attached (by aminoacyl-tRNA synthetases). tRNAs cope with the degeneracy of the genetic code in two manners: having more than one tRNA (with a specific anti-codon) for a particular amino acid; and 'wobble' base-pairing, i.e. permitting non-standard base-pairing at the 3rd anti-codon position.
Source: RNAcentral
GGGUCGGUGCCCGAGUGGUUAAAGGGGGCGGAUUGUAAAUCCGCUACGUCAAGUUACGUUGGUUCGAAUCCAACCCGGCCCA